Molecule: non-coding RNA, 659 nt
Organism: Cinara cedri
Lineage: Eukaryota; Metazoa; Arthropoda; Insecta; Hemiptera; Aphididae
Source: the annotation of a GenBank genome assembly
AAUACGAUUCAACGACGUUCAAAUGUUAUUACGUUCAACCGCUCACGGAAUAUUAUUACCAUUGAUAACUGACGAGACAUGAGACAAAAGUCAUGCGACACGUCAAAUAUUCUAUCCUCGAUUAAGUUAUUGGUAAUGAAAAUAACCAGAAGACGACCAUUAGGAAUAUUAAUGACCCACUAAGUGGCUGUUAUUGUCCAUCAUGAUGUAUUAGACAGCAUGAUGUAGAAACGAACGCGACAUUUGACGUGGCAUACAAGGAAGAGGAAUGAAGAGAUUUCAUGACGAUAGCAGUAGUUUUCGACGGGCCGACAAGGUUAACAAGAAAAAGAAGAACUCUCGGAAAAUUGCAUAACUACGACCUUCUUUAAGUUUUAUGCGACGAAGCUGGUAUAAUACAAAUAAUAUCCAUCUUCGCGUCAUGCCGACGUUUAAGAGAAGACUAUAAAAUACUCGCAUUUACUGUCGCGGUCUAACUAUAGCGGACGACUUGGCCAAAUUACGUUACGUGUACCGUAAACUCGAGGUGUUUUUGGUUGAAAUCAUAAAGUUCAAACACAGAUCGCGAAAUCAAAAGAAGACAAUAUUUUCGAGAGUAUAUUUCGAGGAGGUUUUAUACCGCAGUUUGUCUAGAAUAUUUUUCAAAAAAAAGUUACAGU